Molecule: long non-coding RNA, 1282 nt
Filed under: Dromaius novaehollandiae (emu)
Lineage: Eukaryota; Metazoa; Chordata; Aves; Casuariiformes; Dromaiidae
Description: lncRNA (ENSDNVG00000017433.1)
Source: RNAcentral
AGGGUGUUUGGGCGCAAGGGGGUUUGGCAGAGAGGGUGUUUGGGGGCAAGGGCAUCUGGGAGUGGAGGCGUUUGAAGAUAAAGUACCUGAUCCCAUCAGACCAUAACUUGCAGGACUCCAGGGGAAGUCCGCCAGGGACGGCAGGCAAGAGGCUGAGCUCUGGUGCUGAGCACUUCACUGCCCGGGAAGGACCCGGGGCCCCACAGUUCCCACAGAGCACCCACCCUCCAGGAGUUUCUGGCACCACGUCAGCGCUUGCCCGUGGUGUGGAAGAGGGGACAGCAGACUCUAGAAAAAUCUCCCUGGCUUGUGUUUUGUUAGUUUUGGUGUUACGUUCCCCAGUAAAGAGUAGUGCCUUUCUCUGUCCCUUUUACUUAGCCAUCAUUCACUUCUGGGGGUCUUCAAAUGCUAUAAAAUAUACAGCAUUUCAAGAGGUAUCUUUGCUGCUGAUGUGUAGAAAGAGCAAUAGCACAAAGACAAUUUAAAAAAUCAUUAUAUAGAAAAGGUGAUUUACUUACACUGUUAUACAGUGAAGAUAUAAUGCUUAGUGACAGCAUGCCAGUCAUCAAAGAAGUUUCCAAUACAUUUUCCCCUGUGACUGUCAGUACGAUAAUGAUCGUCMUCCCUAUAGCCAACUGCCUCUGCUUUGAAACCAAAUCUACAGCUUGUACAUUAUUGUAUCCUAACUGUUGUGUCUGUCUUUGGAAAGGUGCUCGUUCUGCAAAGGAUCACCGGUUUGGACCCCCAGACCAGCACUAAGUCUCAGUAAUACCUUGUAAAGCCCUUGUUAGUUCUUGGGAUAAGGUUCUCUCUUUUUCUUUGUAUACUGUGAGCACAAAGAAAAAUAACAAAAAAGAAGUAUACAUACUUUAUACAUUACACUGAUAUGGACUCUUUCAGUCAGUAAGAAUACAGGAUUUCAGAACUGCAGUUAUUUGUAAACCAUUUUACACUAAAAUACUGAGAAGUUCAUCGGCCAUGGUCAUUAGUCAGUCAGAGCAGAUGACUUGCCAUGCAGGCCGUGGAGGUAGUCUUGAGUACUUGGCAGCUCGCAGGCCACUCUGUAUAGUUUGACAUCACUCCCAUAGCUCAUACACCAAAACAAACCCCACUAUUCAGUUUUUAAUGAUGACCCCAGCCCUUAUGUCCUAUUUCUUGUUGUUUCUUCAAGCAUCAUUUUGGGAGUAAUUUCUAGUUUCUGCCUUCUCCCCUCUCAAAGGUUAUGUUAUUUGUUUAUAAUUAUAUUUUUAUUUUAUGUUCUCAAUAAACAAAUUGUCUCUGC